Molecule: long non-coding RNA, 920 nt
Filed under: Setaria viridis
Lineage: Eukaryota; Viridiplantae; Streptophyta; Magnoliopsida; Poales; Poaceae
Description: long non-coding RNA (SVIR_LNC005005)
Source: RNAcentral
UGUGUUGAUGACAUAAUAUGCUUAUACUUCAUAUCACAGUAAAUAAGUGGUAAGAAUAUGCGAACCCAUGCCAUAUAGAAAGAUUUUAAGGGUUUACCAAUUUAAACUGGCAAAAUACAAAAACCACGCUUUUGAGGGCACUAGGGUUUGCCACGUGGCUGGUGGUGGAUCUGAAAAUGAAAGAGCAACUCACGUUUUUUUAUGGAAUGCCAGUAUGUGUUAUAUUAGAGAAAUAGGGGACAACCAACCUAACCCAAAAUAUGGUUGUAAAUUUUAUCACUAUCUAAAUUAUCAUUAAUUAAAGCACCAGUAGUACCGUCCAAUAGAAAAGUGAUACUUGCAUUAUCUUACCCAUACAAGUUAUCUCGACCCUUGUGCAAUGCAAAUAAAGACACUAAUUCAAACAUAAACAUAAAAGAUGUGAAUGUUAUGUAUAUAUAGCAAACAACAUAAAAUUUUCAAUCUAUGGAGGGCCAUGUGAAACGUUUUUUAAACACUCCAUAUGUAAAUACCAUGUACACUCACCUCUAUCAACUUCUUCAAUAGAUCGGACCAAUAUAUCUCAUGCGAGUACCCAUGCUAAGUCAGAUGUUUGCCUAAGUGGACCGAUCAUCUUCUCAUAAAGAAUUCAACCAAUAGAUCUACCUCAAUUGAUUCGGUCAAGAGGGACAACUUUGAAACCAACUUAGACUCUUGUAUUUAGGUACGGUAGCAUCCUUUUCUUGAGGGCUAGUACGGUGGCGUCGUGAUGUUAGCUACAGUAGUCUGCAAUACAUUUUAGUAAGGAUUUGUUCCAUGAGCAUCGACUACUCCUUGAAUACAUUGACUUGGCAUGAGUAAUUGACUUGCCAUAGCACGGGUGUCAUCCAUUGUACACACGGGUGUCAUCCAUUGUACACAAAUUUACUACAUUAUCACCC